AUUGAACGCUGGCGGCAGGCCUAACACAUGCCAGUCGAGCGGAUGAAGGGAGCUUGCUCCUGGAUUCAGCGGCGGACGGGUGAGUAAUGCCUAGGAAUCUGCCUGGUAGUGGGGGAUAACGUCCGGAAACGGGCGCUAAUACCGCAUACGUCCUGAGGGAGAAAGUGGGGGAUCUUCGGACCUCACGCUAUCAGAUGAGCCUAGGUCGGAUUAGCUAGUUGGUGGGGUAAAGGCCUACCAAGGCGACGAUCCGUAACUGGUCUGCGAGGAUGAUCAGUCACACUGGAACUGAGACACGGUCCAGACUCCUACGGGAGGCAGCAGUGGGGAAUAUUGGACAAUGGGCGAAAGCCUGAUCCAGCCAUGCCGCGUGUGUGAAGAAGGUCUUCGGAUUGUAAAGCACUUUAAGUUGGGAGGAAGGGCAGUAAGUUAAUACCUUGCUGUUUUGACGUUACCAACAGAAUAAGCACCGGCUAACUUCGUG
This 484-nucleotide ribosomal RNA is filed under the name uncultured bacterium. RNAcentral describes it as "partial 16S ribosomal RNA". It matches the Rfam family "Bacterial small subunit ribosomal RNA", at positions 30 to 507 of the family's 1533-position model. The record is from RNAcentral.